Molecule: transfer RNA, 77 nt
Filed under: Flavobacteriales bacterium
Lineage: Bacteria; Pseudomonadati; Bacteroidota; Flavobacteriia; Flavobacteriales
Description: tRNA-Met
Rfam family: tRNA
About the family: Transfer RNA (tRNA) molecules are approximately 80 nucleotides in length. Their secondary structure includes four short double-helical elements and three loops (D, anti-codon, and T loops).
Source: RNAcentral
GGCGUGGUAGCUCAGUUGGUCAGAGCGCAGGAUUCAUAACCCUGAGGUCGGGAGUUCAAGUCUCCCUCACGCUACNA